UUGCACGUAGCCUCCCGGGCUGCUCCGAAUCUAUAUUAAAUGAAGAAGAUUGCCCCAAAGCUCGUGCUAAAACGUCGCCGUUCAGUGUUGCAGUUCAGCCUCAUGUACCUAAUUUCAUCCCAGGGCUGAAUCUGUGUCAAAGCAACGGCUAUAUUU
Molecule: small nucleolar RNA, 156 nt
Organism: Coffea eugenioides
Lineage: Eukaryota; Viridiplantae; Streptophyta; Magnoliopsida; Gentianales; Rubiaceae
Product: small nucleolar RNA snoR134
Exons: 1
Source: RefSeq, a predicted model, not a curated record